Molecule: non-coding RNA, 72 nt
Organism: Bos taurus (domestic cattle)
Lineage: Eukaryota; Metazoa; Chordata; Mammalia; Artiodactyla; Bovidae
Source: Rfam
UCCCUAGUGGUUCAGUUGGUAAAGAAUCUGCCUGCAAUGCAGGAGACCCAGGUUCAAUCCCUGGGUUGGGAA